This 322-nucleotide ribosomal RNA is filed under the name uncultured Cercozoa. RNAcentral describes it as "SSU rRNA". The stretch from base 112 to 322 matches the Rfam family "Eukaryotic small subunit ribosomal RNA", at positions 744 to 955 of the family's 1831-position model. The record is from RNAcentral. Lineage: Eukaryota; Cercozoa. RNAcentral also lists the same sequence under 1 other name.
GAUUUCUGGCUUGAAACAUUAAGCCGGCCACGGUUUCGUGUGUUAGUGCUUGGUGUUCUGGCCAUCCUUCCAAUCGCUGCUGGCCUUUCUUCAUUGAUAGGUUGGUAGUAUUGGAUCUUUUACUUUGAAAAAAUUAGAGUGUUUCAAGCAGGCUUUAUGCUAUGAAUACAUUAGCAUGGAAUAAUAAUUUAGGACUUCGGUUCUAUUUUGUUGGUUUCUAGGACUGAAGUAAUGAUUGAUAGGGAUAGUUGGGGGUGCUAGUAUUCAGCGGCCAGAGGUGAAAUUCUCGGAUUCGCUGAAGACUAACUUAUGCGAAAGCAUU